RNAcentral lists this ribosomal RNA (497 nucleotides) under uncultured bacterium. RNAcentral's name for it is "partial 16S ribosomal RNA". It matches the Rfam family "Bacterial small subunit ribosomal RNA", at positions 28 to 507 of the family's 1533-position model. The record is from RNAcentral.
GAUGAACGCUGGCGGCGUGCCUAAUACAUGCAAGUCGAGCGAACAGACGAGGAGCUUGCUCCUCUGACGUUAGCGGCGGACGGGUGAGUAACACGUGGAUAACCUACCUAUAAGACUGGGAUAACUUCGGGAAACCGGAGCUAAUACCGGAUAAUAUAUUGAACCGCAUGGUUCAAUAGUGAAAGACGGUUUUGCUGUCACUUAUAGAUGGAUCCGCGCCGCAUUAGCUAGUUGGUAAGGUAACGGCUUACCAAGGCAACGAUGCGUAGCCGACCUGAGAGGGUGAUCGGCCACACUGGAACUGAGACACGGUCCAGACUCCUACGGGAGGCAGCAGUAGGGAAUCUUCCGCAAUGGGCGAAAGUCUGACGGAGCAACGCCGCGUGAGUGAUGAAGGUCUUCGGAUCGUAAAACUCUGUUAUUAGGGAAGAACAAAUGUGUAAGUAACUAUGCACGUCUUGACGGUACCUAAUCUGAAAGCCACGGCUAACUACGUG